GAUGAACGCUGGCGGCGUGCCUAAUACAUGCAAGUCGAGCGAACAGACGAGGAGCUUGCUCCUCUGACGUUAGCGGCGGACGGGUGAGUAACACGUGGAUAACCUACCUAUAAGACUGGGAUAACUUCGGGAAACCGGAGCUAAUACCGGAUAACAUGUUGAACCGCAUGGUUCAACAGUGAAAGACGGUCUUGCUGUCACUUAUAGAUGGAUCCGCGCCGCAUUAGCUAGUUGGUAAGGUAACGGCUUACCAAGGCAACGAUGCGUAGCCGACCUGAGAGGGUGAUCAGCCACACUGGAACUGAGACACGGGCCAGACUCCUACGGGAGGCAGCAGUAGGGAAUCUUCCGCAAUGGGCGAAAGCCUGACGGAGCAACGCCGCGUGAGUGAAGAAGGUCUUCGGAUCGUAAAACUCUGUUAUUAGGGAAGAACAAAUGUGUAAGUAACUAUGCACGUCUUGACGGUACCUAAUCAGAAAGCCCCGGCUAACUACGUG
This 497-nucleotide ribosomal RNA is filed under the name uncultured bacterium. Its description in RNAcentral is "partial 16S ribosomal RNA". It matches the Rfam family "Bacterial small subunit ribosomal RNA", at positions 28 to 507 of the family's 1533-position model. The record is from RNAcentral.